GAUGAACGCUGGCGGCGUGCCUAAUACAUGCAAGUCGAGCGAACAGACGAGGAGCUUGCUCCUCUGACGUUAGCGGCGGACGGGUGAGUAACACGUGGAUAACCUACCUAUAAGACUGGGAUAACUUCGGGAAACCGGAGCUAAUACCGGAUAAUAUAUUGAACCGCAUGGUUCAAUAGUGAAAGACGGUUUUGCUGUCACUUAUAGAUGGAUCCGCGCCGCAUUAGCUAGUUGGUAAGGUAACGGCUUACCAAGGCAACGAUGCGUAGCCGACCUGAGAGGGUGAUCGGCCACACUGGAACUGAGACACCGUCCAGAGUCCUACGGGAGGCAGCAGUAGGGAAUCUUCCGCAAUGGGCGAAAGCCUGACGGAGCAACGCCGCGUGAGUGAUGAAGGUCUUCGGAUCGUAAAACUCUGUUAUUAGGGAAGAACAAAUGUGUAAGUAACUAUGCACGUCUUGACGGUAACUAAUCAGAAAGCCACGGCUAACUACGUG
Molecule: ribosomal RNA, 497 nt
Filed under: uncultured bacterium
Lineage: Bacteria
Description: partial 16S ribosomal RNA
Rfam family: Bacterial small subunit ribosomal RNA
Source: RNAcentral